RNAcentral lists this ribosomal RNA (510 nucleotides) under uncultured fungus. Its description in RNAcentral is "SSU rRNA". It matches the Rfam family "Eukaryotic small subunit ribosomal RNA", at positions 569 to 1078 of the family's 1831-position model. Lineage: Eukaryota; Fungi. The record is from RNAcentral.
CGCAGCCGCGGUAAUUCCAGCUCCAAUAGCGUAUAUUAAAGUUGUUGCAGUUAAAAAGCUCGUAGUUGAAUUUCGGAAUCUGUCCGUUGGUCGGGCUUCAUUGUCCGUACUGGUGUGAUGGGUUCUUACCUUCUGAAUAACCAGCAUGCCAUUCAUUUGGUGCGUUGGGGAAGCAGGACUAUUACCUUGAAAAAAUUAGAGUGCUCAAAGCAGGCUAGUGCCUGAAUACAUUAGCAUGGAAUAAUAAAAUAGGACGGCAUGGUUCUAUUUUGUUGGUUUCUAGGAUCACCGUAAUGAUUAAUAGGGAUAGUUGGGGGCAUUAGUAUUCAAUUGUCAGAGGUGAAAUUCUUGGAUUUAUUGAAGACUAACUUCUGCGAAAGCAUUUGCCAAGGAUGUUUUCAUUAAUCAAGAACGAAAGUUAGGGGAUCGAAGACGAUCAGAUACCGUCGUAGUCUUAACCAUAAACUAUGCCGACUAGGGAUCGGACGAUGUUAAUUUUUUAAUNACUCG